This 235-nucleotide ribosomal RNA is filed under the name uncultured bacterium. RNAcentral describes it as "partial 16S ribosomal RNA". It matches the Rfam family "Bacterial small subunit ribosomal RNA", at positions 28 to 259 of the family's 1533-position model. The record is from RNAcentral.
GAUGAACGUUGGCGGUGCGCCUAAUACAUGCAAGUCGAACGGAGACUGUAGCAAUACUGUCUUAGUGGCGAACGGGUGAGUAACGCGUGGGUAACCUGCCCAAUAAAAAAAAUAACAUCCGGAAACGGGUGCUAAUACCGCAUAGGUUUCUUGGUCGCAUGAUCGAGAAAGGAAGACGGCCUUUGCGCUGUCGCUUAUGGAUGGACCCGCGUCUGAUUAGCUAGUUGGUGGGGUA